This 468-nucleotide long non-coding RNA is filed under the name Homo sapiens (human). RNAcentral's name for it is "non-protein coding lnc-DNAJC21-3:3". The record is from RNAcentral. Lineage: Eukaryota; Metazoa; Chordata; Mammalia; Primates; Hominidae.
CCUUCUCCAGCGGGCUCUCCUUCCAGCUUCCUCCCGGGCUGCAAUUCCUCUGCCUAGGUGCCUCCGUCCAGCUCCGGCUUCUGGCCCGGAGGCUGCUCAUCUGCCCCUACCCCCGCUGACUUUUGGGAGGAGCAACACCUUUCAGGUCAGCAUUGCUAACCCUAAACUUUCCCCGCCGGAUGCCCGCGAGGCUGCUGCGGCGGCGGCUGCUGCUGAUGGGAGAGUCUCGAGUCCGGCUUUCAUCACAUCACCUGUCUGCGCCCCUUCCCCCUCCCCGCUCUUUUUUUCUUUUCUUUUUAUUUUGACGCAAAUAAUUUGCAUUCUGAGAAUCCCACAAUCAACGCCGAAACUCAUGCUCAAGGAUACAGGAGCCCGCGCCGGUGGCCCCGCUCUCCCCUUCAGCACGCGGGCCUCGAACCCGCAUCCCGGAGAGCGGCCGCCCGCGCAGCCCCUGCCGCGCGCCGUCGG